Molecule: transfer RNA, 64 nt
Filed under: Cyrtanaspis phalerata
Lineage: Eukaryota; Metazoa; Arthropoda; Insecta; Coleoptera; Scraptiidae
Description: tRNA-Tyr
Source: RNAcentral
AGUAAAAUGGCUGAGUCUAAGCAAUAAAUUGUAAAUUUAUCAACGAAUUUUUUUUCUUUUACUA